This 119-nucleotide ribosomal RNA is filed under the name Triticum aestivum (bread wheat). The record is from RNAcentral. Lineage: Eukaryota; Viridiplantae; Streptophyta; Magnoliopsida; Poales; Poaceae. RNAcentral also lists the same sequence under 1 other name.
GGAUGCGAUCAUACCAGCACUAAAGCACCGGAUCCCAUCAAAACUCCGAAGUUAAGCGUGCUUGGGCGAGAGUAGUACUAGGAUGGGUGACCUCUUGGGAAGUCCUCGUGUUGCAUUCC